Molecule: long non-coding RNA, 1390 nt
Organism: Gasterosteus aculeatus aculeatus (three-spined stickleback)
Lineage: Eukaryota; Metazoa; Chordata; Actinopteri; Perciformes; Gasterosteidae
Source: Ensembl
AGAAACUCAGGAGGAGCAAAGACUAAGACUGGUGAUAUCACUCAAUACGUAGUGGUCUGUGGACGUGGAGGCUGAGGCAACAUGCCAGAGGGAGCUGCAGGAUGGCCGGACACGCUGACGCUAACAAGCGUCCACGAAUCCCCGGUGAGGGAAGCUCAGAGUCCCAACACACGCUGAGGGAGUGCUUGACUUCACUCUGCAGGAUUCCUUAUCGGGGCCUGAAGUCUUAAUGCUUUCAACUUGGCCCACAUGUUAAUGGAUCUUCUUCCCGUGGAGGCAAAUGGGAUCUCAGAAGAGAGAGAGGAACCAGCAGCAGUUCAUCGCAGCAUGUGACCAACAAGCAGAACAUCAAUCUUGCUCAGGUUUCCCCUGCUGGUGGAGCAGCAGGUAACCGUCGUGGUGAUCAGAACAACAUCAGAUCAAUGAAAGAGAAUCAGCUCCAUAGCUGUUUGGUUGUGACAGUAUUUUAAGGAUUGGAGAAACUUGCACUGCUGAUCACCUCUGGGUUUAACAUAUGGUUGCCUUGGAGACUGACGGGGGCACGUGUCCACGUCCUGGUGAACUGGGGACUGAGCGGCCUGUUGAUCCUGCACACAGCAGCCGGUGGUGAGUGACGGAUUCUUCCAUCAGCUACCAUUGCAGCAUCAUCAGCCAUCAUUAACCUCAGCUGAUAAUCAGCUAACAAGCUUUUCAAAUUAGCAUGUUUUUGUGUGUUCACACUGGUGUUUGCGGAGGCUUGCUGUCAUUUUUUGAUUUUGAGAAAUAGAACGAGCCUCUGGGCUUUUUGCAUCAAGCUUUACCUCGUGCGCAGGGUAUAUAGUUUCACAUGAAUUAUUUUUUCUUUUGAUUGCCGUCUUAGAAACCCCACCAGUGCAUCAUAAACACGGCAUUCCAUAUAUCCUCGUUCAGAUGGCUUCCUAUGUUCAGCUACACGGAAAGGGAACUGAAUAUAAAAAGCCUAAUCUACCUCGUAGAUGGAGAGCCUAAUCUCGUCCAGAGGCCGCCGCGUACACGUGGAAGGCAACGUUCAUUUUUUAAUUCCACCGCAGUCUUGGAAAUAAGCACAGAAUCUGAAUUCUUAAUAAUGUGUUUUGGACCCAAACCAUUUAAAUGAAUGAUCCUCAGCCUCACCGGGUGAGACAACUACAUGACUAAAGCGAUAUAUUGCACAGUAUAUAUAUAAGACAGCCAUUCAUGAGUCGGUCUUGGUUAGAAAAAAUAAAUGAGGGUUGCUUAAAAUGAAAACAUUACUCACAUCAGAUGAGUGUGAUCAUGAUUUAUGAGUUGUUUUAAACCACAGUUUUACUUCUCAUUGUGUUAUCUUGUGUUAUUGUUUCUCCACACAAUGCUUUCAAAAUUGUCUCCAUUGUUUUGUCUUCAAGAACCCAGA